Molecule: ribosomal RNA, 1319 nt
Filed under: metagenome
Description: bacterial LSU rRNA
Rfam family: Bacterial large subunit ribosomal RNA
Source: RNAcentral
AGUGGAUGGGGAGCAACCUAGUUGUGCGUGUGUAAAGGUAGUGCCAAGAAAAGCGGUGAUCAUGAUGAAAAUCAAUUCCCGGUACCCGAAACCGACACAGGUGGGCAAGUAGAGAAUACUAAGGGGCGCGAGGUAACUCUCUCCAAGGAACUCGGCAAAAUGACCCCGUAACUUAGGGAGAAGGGGUGCCACCGAGAGGUGGUCGCAGUGAAGAGGCCCAGGCGACUGUUUAGCAAAAACAUAGGUCUCUGCAAACUCGAAAGAGGAGGUAUAGGGGCUGACGCCUGCCCAGUGCCGGAAGGUUAAAGAAGUUGGUCAGUCUUAGGAUAAAGCUAGCGACUGAAGCCCCGGUGGACGGCGGCCGUAACUAUAACGGUCCUAAGGUAGCGAAAUUCCUUGUCGGGUAAGUUCCGACCCGCACGAAAGGCGUAACGAUCUGGGCGCUGUCUCGGAGAGAGGCUCGGCGAAAUAGGAUUGUCUGUGAAGAUACGGACUACCUGCAUUUGGACAGAAAGACCCUAUGAAGCUUUACUAUAGCUUGGAAUUGUGUUCGGGCUUCCUGUGCGCAGGAUAGGUGGGAGGCGAAGAAGGUAUUCUUGUGGGGAUACUGGAGCCAACGGUGAGAUACCACUCUCAGGAGGCUAGAAUUCUAACUUAAUUAAGGACAGUUUCAGGUGGGUAGUUUGACUGGGGCGGUCGCCUCCAAAAAGGUAACGGAGGCGUACAAAGGUUCCCUCAGACUGGUUGGAAAUCAGUCGCAGAGUGCAAAGGCAGAAGGGAGCUUGACUGCGAGAUGUACAGUUCGAGCAGGGUGGAAACACGGUCUUAGUGAUCCGACGGUGCUGUGUGGAAGGGCCGUCGCUCAACGGAUAAAAGUUACUCUAGGAUAACAGGCUGAUCUCCCCCAAGAGUUCACAUCGACGGGGAGGUUUGGCACCUCGAUGUCGGCUCAUCGCAACCUGGGGCGGAAGUACGUCCCAAGGGUUGGGCUGUUCGCCCAUUAAAGCGGUACGUGAGCUGGGUUCAGAACGUCGUGAGACAGUUCGGUCCAUAUCCGAUGUAGGCGUGAGAAUAUUGAGAGGAGCCUUCCUUAGUACGAGAGGACCGGGAAGGACGCACCGCUGGUGUACCUGUUAUGAUGCCAAUUGUAAACGCAGGGUAGCCAAGUGCGGAGAGGAUAACCGCUGAAAGCAUCUAAGUGGGAAGCCCACCUCAAGAUGAGUAUUCUGGUGUAAGGUCACGGGAAGACGACCCGUAAAUAGGCACGAGGUGGAAGUGCAGAGAUGUAUGAAGCCGAAGUGUACUAAUAGACCGUCGGC